AGUAUGGGAAGCAAACGGUGGCGAAGUUAAAACUUCAACUAGUUGAAAGAGGAGCCUCCACUAGAGGAAAGAAACAGGAUUUGGUAGAAAGGUCACAGAGAAGGAAGUGUCAGAACUUGAAAACAGAACUAGAGGCCAAAGUAAAAGUCGAGUGUGGCAUGAAGAAAGAUCAUGGAGAAUAACAGCAUCGAGGUUUGGUGAUAUUUUGAACGCGACCAAAAGACAAGACAAGGACAAAUUAUGCCAGUCACUGUUGUUUACCCAUGAAAUCAAUACUCCAUAUUUCUUAAAAUGUACAGACAUAUAGUCGUCAACAAUGUCACG
This is a long non-coding RNA of Lingula anatina, 324 nucleotides long. The record is from RefSeq and is a predicted model, not a curated record. NCBI's taxonomy places the organism in Eukaryota, Metazoa, Brachiopoda, Lingulata, Lingulida, Lingulidae.